UACGUAGGCAGCGAGCGUUGUUCGGAGUUACUGGGCGUAAAGAGCGUGUAGGCGGCCAGGUAGGUCGGUUGUGAAAACUGGAGGCUCAACCUCCAGAGGUCGACCGAAACCAUCUGGCUAGAGUCCGGGAGAGGAGAGUGGAAUUCCUGGUGUAGCGGUGAAAUGCGCAGAUAUCAGGAAGAACACCCGUGGCGAAAGCGGCUCUCUGGAACGGUACUGACGCUGAGACGCGAAAGCGUGGGGAGCGAACAGG
This 253-nucleotide ribosomal RNA is filed under the name uncultured bacterium. RNAcentral describes it as "partial 16S ribosomal RNA". It matches the Rfam family "Bacterial small subunit ribosomal RNA", at positions 524 to 776 of the family's 1533-position model. The record is from RNAcentral.